Molecule: long non-coding RNA, 224 nt
Organism: Prionailurus viverrinus (fishing cat)
Lineage: Eukaryota; Metazoa; Chordata; Mammalia; Carnivora; Felidae
Exons: 3
Source: RefSeq, a predicted model, not a curated record
UGGGAAAGCUGCAACAGCAGACAUUUAAGGUUCAGAAGCAGGGACUGUCACCUGCCUGUACGGAUUCUGUUAAAACUAAGGAUGGAAGUUACUGGACCAGAGAGAGAAGUGCUUAAAAUUGCCCAUGGCGUCAGAAAUGCGACAACAGAUUGAUCUGAUGACCAGGCCGAGAUACACAGCAGAAGCACUCAGAAAUAUCCUUCCUCUAGGGGCACCUGGGUGGC